UACGUAGGGUGCAAGCGUUGUCCGGAAUUAUUGGGCGUAAAGAGCUCGUAGGCGGUCUGUCGCGUCUGCUGUGAAAACCUAGGGCUUAACUCUGGGCGUGCAGUGGGUACGGGCAGACUAGAGUGCGGUAGGGGAGACUGGAAUUCCUGGUGUAGCGGUGAAAUGCGCAGAUAUCAGGAGGAACACCGAUGGCGAAGGCAGGUCACUGGGCCGCAACUGACGCUGAGGAGCGAAAGCAUGGGGAGCGAACAGG
RNAcentral lists this ribosomal RNA (253 nucleotides) under uncultured bacterium. RNAcentral's name for it is "partial 16S ribosomal RNA". It matches the Rfam family "Bacterial small subunit ribosomal RNA", at positions 524 to 776 of the family's 1533-position model. The record is from RNAcentral.